This 228-nucleotide ribosomal RNA is filed under the name uncultured bacterium. RNAcentral's name for it is "partial 16S ribosomal RNA". It matches the Rfam family "Bacterial small subunit ribosomal RNA", at positions 103 to 334 of the family's 1533-position model. The record is from RNAcentral.
CGGGUGAGUAAUGUCUGGGAAACUGCCCGAUGGAGGGGGAUAACUACUGGAAACGGUAGCUAAUACCGCAUAACGUCGCAAGACCAAAGAGGGGGACCUUAGGGCCUCUUGCCAUCGGAUGUGCCCAGAUGGGAUUAGCUAGUAGGUGGGGUAAUGGCUCACCUAGGCGACGAUCCCUAGCUGGUCUGAGAGGAUGACCAGCCACACUGGAACUGAGACACGGUCCAG